This 252-nucleotide unclassified non-coding RNA is filed under the name plant metagenome. Its description in RNAcentral is "partial contains small subunit ribosomal RNA, internal transcribed spacer 1, and 5.8S ribosomal RNA". The record is from RNAcentral.
UCUCCGUUGGUGAACCAGCGGAGGGAUCAUUACCGAGUUUACAACCCCCAAACCCCUGUGAACUUAUACCUUUACUGUUGCUUCGGCGGGUCAUUGCCCCGGGGAAACAGGCGGCCGUCAGGUCCCUGCCCACCCGGAAACAGGCGCCCGCCGGGGGACUCAAACUCUUCUGUAUUUUUUUGUUUACUGUAUACUGUCUGAGUAAAAAUUCAUAAUGAAUCAAAGCUUUCAACAACGGAUCUCUUGGUUCUG